RNAcentral lists this ribosomal RNA (70 nucleotides) under Ostertagia ostertagi. Its description in RNAcentral is "partial large subunit ribosomal RNA". It matches the Rfam family "Eukaryotic large subunit ribosomal RNA", at positions 1 to 68 of the family's 3401-position model. The record is from RNAcentral. Lineage: Eukaryota; Metazoa; Nematoda; Chromadorea; Rhabditida; Trichostrongylidae.
UGCAACCUGAACUCMGGCGUGAUUACCCGCUGAACUUAAGCAUAUCAUUUAGCGGAGGAAAAGAAACUAA